Molecule: long non-coding RNA, 207 nt
Filed under: Mytilus galloprovincialis (Mediterranean mussel)
Lineage: Eukaryota; Metazoa; Mollusca; Bivalvia; Mytilida; Mytilidae
Source: RNAcentral
GUGAAAUUUAAAUCUAUUUUAGAUAUACAUGUUAGUUUCUUACCCUUUCUACUUAAAAAAAAGCCAUUUGCCAAUGUAAUAAAAAGAAUAACUAAUCAAAGAAUUCAAAUAGGCUGCGCGCAUUAGCAAAUUCAUGUGUUGUUCGGUCACUCGUUGAAUAUUUUUCUUUUUGGAUUCUUCGAUAAUUUAUUCUAUAAAUCUCAUUUU